ACACGUGGAUAAUCUAACCUUGAGUAAGGGAUAACCUCGGGAAACUGAGGAUAAUACCUUAUAAUUGCUUAAAACUGGAAUGUUUAAGCAAUAAAAGUUCCGACGCUCAAGGAUGAGUCUGCGACCUAUCAGGUAGUAGGUGGUGUAAUGGACCACCUAGCCUCAGACGGGUACGGGCCCUGGGAGGGGUAGCCCGGAGAUGGACUCUGAGACAUCAGUCCAGGCCCUACGGGGCGCAGCAGGCGCGAACACUGUGCAAUGCGCGAAAGCGCGACACGGGGAGCUUGAGUGUCUUGGCAUAGCCAAGACUUUUCUCAUUCCUAAAAAGCAUGAGGAAUAAGUGCUGGGUAAGACGGGUGCCAGCCGCCGCGGUAACACCCGCAGCACAAGUGGUGGUCACUUUUAUUGAGCCUAAAGCGUUCGU
This 424-nucleotide ribosomal RNA is filed under the name uncultured archaeon. Its description in RNAcentral is "bacterial SSU rRNA". It matches the Rfam family "Archaeal small subunit ribosomal RNA", at positions 96 to 522 of the family's 1478-position model. The record is from RNAcentral.